This is a non-coding RNA of Vicia faba (fava bean), 255 nucleotides long. The record is from the annotation of a GenBank genome assembly. NCBI's taxonomy places the organism in Eukaryota, Viridiplantae, Streptophyta, Magnoliopsida, Fabales, Fabaceae.
AUGGUGGUUCCCGACAAUGAUCACGGCGGCGCCACCGUGAAACAUGCCAGAUUCGGAAUAAAAUUUAACCACCUUGCUCGGUUUUCUUUCCUUGUUUCAAAUCCGGAGUUAGUUUUUUUUAAUACAUUACAGAUCUACAACAACAAAUCAAUAAAACAACUCAAAAAAGGAUGGAUUCGGUUUCAGGUGAAAAUAAGCAACCUUUUGGAGGAGAGAAAAUGGAGAACGACAACGACAAAGGGCGGUUUCCGGUGA